GGAGGUUGUCCGGCAUGGACGAGGAAAGCGUCUUGAAAACGCCUGCGGGUUAAACCGUCAAGAGUUCGAUUCUCUUAGCCUCCG
Molecule: transfer RNA, 84 nt
Filed under: Leptolyngbya sp. Cla-17
Lineage: Bacteria; Bacillati; Cyanobacteriota; Cyanophyceae; Leptolyngbyales; Leptolyngbyaceae
Also listed under: 1 other name
Description: tRNA-Ser
Source: RNAcentral